Molecule: ribosomal RNA, 498 nt
Filed under: uncultured Archaeospora
Lineage: Eukaryota; Fungi; Glomeromycota; Glomeromycetes; Archaeosporales; Archaeosporaceae
Description: SSU rRNA
Rfam family: Eukaryotic small subunit ribosomal RNA
Source: RNAcentral
CCAAUAGCGUAUAUUAAAGUUGUUGCAGUUAAAAAGCUCGUAGUUGAAUUUUAGGCCUGGCCAGGCGGUCCGUCUUUGGCGAGUACUGUCUUGUUGUCGGGUCUUCCUUCUGGUGAACCAGUAUGUCCUUUAUUGGGUGUGUUGGGGAGCCAGGACCAUUACCUUGAAAAAAUUAGAGUGUUUAAAGCGGGCUAUUGCUUGAAUAGAUUAGCAUGGAAUAAUAGAAUAGGACGUUGUGGUUCUAUUUUGUUGGUUUCUAGGACCACCGUAAUGAUUAAUAGGGAUAGUUGGGGGCAUUAGUAUUAAAUUGUCAGAGGUGAAAUUCUUGGAUUUAUUGAAGACUAACUAUUGCGAAAGCAUUUGCCAAGGAUGUUUUCAUUAAUCAAGAACGAAAGUUAGGGGAUCGAAGACGAUCAGAUACCGUCGUAGUCUUAACCAUAAACUAUGCCGACUAGGAAUCGGGCGACGUUAUUUUAAUGACUCGCUCGGCGCCUUAUG